Molecule: ribosomal RNA, 395 nt
Filed under: uncultured bacterium
Lineage: Bacteria
Description: bacterial SSU rRNA
Rfam family: Bacterial small subunit ribosomal RNA
Source: RNAcentral
AUUGAACGCUGGCGGCAUGCCUUACACAUGCAAGUCGAACGGCAGCGGACCUUCGGGUGCCGGCGAGUGGCGAACGGGUGAGUAAAGUAUCGGAACGUACCUUUCAGUGGGGGAUAACUGUCCGAAAGGACAGCUAAUACCGCAUAUUCUGUGAGCAGGAAAGCAGGGGAUCGCAAGACCUUGCGCUGAUUGAGCGGCCGAUAUCAGAUUAGCUAGUUGGUGAGGUAAAGGCUCACCAAGGCGACGAUCUGUAGCGGGUCUGAGAGGAUGAUCCGCCACACUGGAACUGAGACACGGUCCAGACUCCUACGGGAGGCAGCGGUGGGGAAUUUUGGACAAUGGGGGCAACCCUGAUCCAGCCAUGCCGCGUGAGUGAAGAAGGCCUCGGUUGUAAG